AGUGAACGCUGGCGGUAGGCCUAACACAUGCAAGUCGAACGGCAGCACAGUAAGAGCUUGCUCUUACGGGUGGCGAGUGGCGGACGGGUGAGGAAUACAUCGGAAUCUACUUUUUCGUGGGGGAUAACGUAGGGAAACUUACGCUAAUACCGCAUACGACCUACGGGUGAAAGCAGGGGAUCUUCUGACCUUGCGCGAUUGAAUGAGCCGAUGUCGGAUUAGCUAGUUGGGGGGGUAAGGGCCCACCAAGGCGACGAUCCGUAGCUGGUCUGAGAGGAUGAUCAGCGACACUGGAACUGAGACACGGUCCAGACUCCUACGGUAGGCAGCAGUGGGGAAUAUUGGACAAUGGGCGCAAGCCUGAUCCAGCCAUACCGCGUGGGUGAAGAAGGCCUUCGGGUUGUAAAGCCCUUUUGUUGGGAAAGAAAAGCAGCAGGUUAAUACCCCGCUGUUCUGACGGUACCCAAAGAAUAAGCACCGGCUAACUUCGUG
This 492-nucleotide ribosomal RNA is filed under the name uncultured bacterium. Its description in RNAcentral is "partial 16S ribosomal RNA". It matches the Rfam family "Bacterial small subunit ribosomal RNA", at positions 29 to 507 of the family's 1533-position model. The record is from RNAcentral.